GAUGAACGCUGGCGGCGUGCCUAAUACAUGCAAGUCGAGCGAACAGACGAGGAGCUUGCUCCUCUGACGUUAGCGGCGGACGGGUGAGUAACACGUGGAUAACCUACCUAUAAGACUGGGAUAACUUCGGGAAACCGGAGCUAAUACCGGAUAAUAUAUUGAACCGCAUGGUUCAAUAGUGAAAGACGGUUUUGCUGUCACUUAUAGAUGGAUCCGCGCCGCAUUAGCUAGUUGGUAAGGUAACGGCUUACCAAGGCAACGAUGCGUAGCCGACCUGAGAGGGUGAUCGGCCACACUGGAACUGAGACACGGUCCAGACUCCUACGGGAGGCAGCAGUAGGGAAUCUUCCGCAAUGGGCGAAAGCCUGACGGAGCAACGCCGCGUGAGUGAUGAAGGUCUUCGGAUCGAAAAACUCUGUUAUUAGGGAAGAACAAAUGUGUAAGUAACUAUGCACGUCAUGACGGUACCUAAUCAGAAAGCCACGGCUAACUACGUG
This 497-nucleotide ribosomal RNA is filed under the name uncultured bacterium. RNAcentral describes it as "partial 16S ribosomal RNA". It matches the Rfam family "Bacterial small subunit ribosomal RNA", at positions 28 to 507 of the family's 1533-position model. The record is from RNAcentral.